AUACAUNGCAACAGGAGGCAAACCGGGGGAACUGAAACAUCUAAGUACCCCGAGGAAGAGAAAUCAACCGAGAUUCCGAAAGUAGCGGCGAGCGAAAUUGGAUUAGCCCUUAAGCUUUUAAUGANACAGAUGAAGGNUCUGGAAAGUGCCGCAAUAAAGGGUGAUAGCCCCGUAAUCGACAUCUCAUAAUCAGUGAAAACGAGUAGGGCGGGACACGUGAUAUCCUGUCUGAAUAUGGGGGGACCAUCCUCCAAGGCUAAAUACUACUGACUGACCGAUAGUGAACCAGUACCGUGAGGGAAAGGCGAAAAGAACCCCUGUGAGGGGAGUGAAAUAGAACCUGAAACCGUGUACGUACAAGCAGUAGGAGCACCUUCGUGGUGUGACUGCGUACCUUUUGUAUAAUGGGUCAGC
This 414-nucleotide ribosomal RNA is filed under the name Vibrio sp. 1E07. RNAcentral describes it as "bacterial LSU rRNA". It matches the Rfam family "Bacterial large subunit ribosomal RNA", at positions 162 to 624 of the family's 2925-position model. Lineage: Bacteria; Pseudomonadati; Pseudomonadota; Gammaproteobacteria; Vibrionales; Vibrionaceae. The record is from RNAcentral.